GCUCCAAAAUUUAUCCUAACUAUACUUGUAUUUGAAAUAAAUAAAGGAAGAAACGCACAAAAAGUAAAAAAAAUUAACCAUCAUUUAUCAUUACUUAUUAGAGGAGGAUAGCGAUGGUCAGGUGUGUGGGGGUGUACUCCCCAGAAAAUGUUUGAAAUUUGAACCACGGAAAUGCCAUUUCCUGCAUUCUGAGCAUCCAAAUUUGCUCUAAAAUUUAUGCUAACUAUAGUUGUAUU
Molecule: non-coding RNA, 236 nt
Organism: Paramuricea clavata
Lineage: Eukaryota; Metazoa; Cnidaria; Anthozoa; Malacalcyonacea; Plexauridae
Source: the annotation of a GenBank genome assembly